Molecule: ribosomal RNA, 253 nt
Filed under: uncultured bacterium
Lineage: Bacteria
Description: partial 16S ribosomal RNA
Rfam family: Bacterial small subunit ribosomal RNA
Source: RNAcentral
UACGUAGGGUGCAAGCGUUGUCCGGAAUUAUUGGGCGUAAAGAGCUCGUAGGCGGUCUGUCGCGUCGGCUGUGAAAACUCGGGGCUCAACUCCGAGCUUGCAGUCGAUACGGGCAGGCUAGAGUUCGGCAGGGGAGACUGGAAUUCCUGGUGUAGCGGUGGAAUGCGCAGAUAUCAGGAGGAACACCAGUGGCGAAGGCGGUGCUCUGGGCCGGAACUGACGCUGAGGAGCGAAAGCGUGGGUAGCAAACAGG